GAUUGGUUACCGUUUGUUUCUAAUACUAUUAUUUUCCUAGUCAUUUUCAAGGAUGAGCGGAUGGGAUGCCUGGUCUCAACAAUUAUUAACUAGAAAAAUAGAGGGUGUUACACACCAUAGUGCCCAACAUGGAGGCAUUUAUGGCCUUGAUGGUAAAUUAUGGGCUGGAACCGAUGCAUUUAUGAAGAAAAAGAUAAAUCCACAGUCUUUCAAAAAGGUUGACGAUGCCAUAGCAAAAGGGGCCGCAGCUGUCAGUAAACUAGAAUUUGGCGAUAAAAAGUUCUUUGUAUUGAAUAAUGACCCCGGUUCAAAAUUUGUAAUCGGUAAAUCAACAGAAAAAGGGGCGGGUUGUACGAUUGCAAGGGGCAAGUCGUGCUUUGUGUUGGGAAUAUAUGACAAUGAUCAAGUGCAGCCCUCCAAUAAUACAAGUCAAGUUUGUUAUGUCAGGGACCAACUUAUUUCCGCCGGUUAUUAACCUAAAUAUUUAUUUAUAUAUUGUUUAAAUAUAAGUUUUAUUAUAUUAUUAGAUAAUAAUUAAAGUGCUGGAGAUAUUGUUUUAUUUUACAUUCCAAAUCAGUGAGGUGGAAGUCAUUUAUACAUUCUAGUUCCAAAUAACUGUAGCCAUUUUGAUAUAUCAGUGUCAUUUAUUGUAUAACUUAUACAUUCUAGUUCCAAAUGACUGUAACCAUUUUGAUAUAUCAGUGUCAUUUAUUGUAUAACUUAUACAUUCUAGUUCCAAAUUACUGUAACCAUUUUGAUAUAUCAGUGUCAUUUAUUGUAAUAACUUAUUCUAUUGGCAGAGUAAAUGAAAUUAUUUUUUUUUAUUGUACAUUUGACAACAAUAUCAUUUACUUCAGAAUCUCGUAUGUAUGUUUUUCAAAUGUUAGUUUUACAAUAGAAAACUGCUGUUUUAUCAAAAAACAUUUUAACAA
Patella vulgata (common limpet) is the source of this 932-nucleotide long non-coding RNA. RefSeq lists it as uncharacterized. The record is from RefSeq and is a predicted model, not a curated record. The transcript is spliced from 3 exons. NCBI's taxonomy places the organism in Eukaryota, Metazoa, Mollusca, Gastropoda, Patellidae.